RNAcentral lists this ribosomal RNA (253 nucleotides) under uncultured bacterium. Its description in RNAcentral is "partial 16S ribosomal RNA". It matches the Rfam family "Bacterial small subunit ribosomal RNA", at positions 524 to 776 of the family's 1533-position model. The record is from RNAcentral.
GACGUAGGGGGCCAGCGUUGUUCGGAAUUACUGGGUGUAAAGGGUUCGUAGGCGGUGUGGCAAGUCGGGAGUGAAAUCUCUGGGCUUAACCCAGAGGCUGCUUCCGAAACUGCUGUGCUUGAGUGUGGGAGAGGCGCGUGGAAUUGCAGGUGUAGCGGUGAAAUGCGUAGAUAUCUGCAGGAACACCCGUGGCGAAAGCGGCGCGCUGGACCACUACUGACGCUGAGGAACGAAAGCUAGGGGAGCAAACAGG